Molecule: ribosomal RNA, 1318 nt
Filed under: metagenome
Description: SSU rRNA
Rfam family: Eukaryotic small subunit ribosomal RNA
Source: RNAcentral
GCUCGGGGAGGUAGUGACGAAAAAUAACAAUACGAGACUCAUCCGAGGCUCCGUAAUUGGAAUGGGUACACUUUAAAUCCUUUAACGAGGAUCUAUUGGAGGGCAAGUCUGGUGCCAGCAGCCGCGGUAAUUCCAGCCCCAAUAGCGUAUAUUAAAGUUGCUGCGGUUAAAAAGCUCGUAGUUGGAUCUCAGUCUCGGUCGGACGGUCCAUUUCACGGUGGUACUGUUCGAAUCGGACAUUUGGCCGCCUUUCUCAGUAUGCUCUUCACUGAGUGUAUUGGGAGAGUGGCACGUUUACUUUGAAAAAAUUAGAGUGCUCAAAGCAGGCAAUUGCCUGAAUCUUCGUGCAUGGAAUGAUGGAAUAGGGCCUCGGUUCUAUUUUGUUGGCUUCCGGAACUCGAGGUAAUGAUUAAGAGGGACGGACGGGGGCAUUCGUAUUGCGACGUUAGUGGUGAAAUUCUUAGAUCGUCGCAAGACGAACUACUGCGAAAGCAUUUGCCAAGAAUGUUUUCAUUAAUCAAGAACGAAAGUCAGAGGUUCGAAGGCGAUCAGAUACCGCCCUAGUUCUGACCUUAAACGAUGCUAUCUGGCGAUCCGUCGGUGUUAAUUCCAAUGACCCGACGGGCAGCUUCCGGGAAACCAAAGUGUUCAAGUUCCGGGGGAAGUAUGGUUGCAAAACUGGAACUUAAAGGAAUUGACGGAAGGGCACCACCAGGAGUGGAGCCUGUGGCUUAAUUUGACCCAACACGGGAAAUCUCACCAGGCCCGGACACUGGCAGGAUUGACAGAUUGAUAGCUCUUUCUUGAUUCAGUGGGUGGUGGUGCAUGGCCGUUCUUAGUUGGUGGAGUGAUUUGUCUGGUUAAUUCCGAUAACGAACGAGACCCCGUCCUACUUACUAGACCGAGGAUUCUUUUGUCCUCAGAAUCUUCUUAGAGGGACAACUGGCGUUUAUCUAGCUACAUGAAAUGGGGCAAUAACAGGUCUGUGAUGCCCUUAGAUGUUCUGGGCCGCACACGCGCUACACUGAAGGGAUCAUCGUGUUUGUCCUAGCCUGAAAAGGCCGGGAAAUCCGUUGAAAUCUCUUCGUGCUAGGGAUUGAGGCUUGCAAUUUUUUCUCAUGAACGAGGAAUUCCCAGUAAGUGCGAGUCAUAAGCUCGCGCUGAUUACGUCCCUGCCCUUUGUACACACCGCCCGUCGCUACUACCGAUUGGAUGAUUUAGUGAGGCCUUCGGACUGGCUGCUAGUGGGGCACUUGUGUCCUGCUGGUGGAUCGGGAAGAUGUUCAAACUGUAUCAUCUAGAGGAAGUAAAAGUCGAA